Long non-coding RNA from Prunus avium (sweet cherry), 687 nucleotides. RefSeq lists it as uncharacterized. The record is from RefSeq and is a predicted model, not a curated record. Lineage: Eukaryota; Viridiplantae; Streptophyta; Magnoliopsida; Rosales; Rosaceae.
GAAAGUGGAUAUGUACCCGCCAAAAAGAAUCUGAAUGAAGUCGCCCUUUCGUGUCCUUCCUUCUCCAAAAAUGAAAAGCAUAGAAAUUCAAAGGGCACAGAGACGAGAGAGCGAGAGAGAAACGAGAAAUACGACAAGUACGACUUGGAGAAGCAGCGCGACCUCAACCCUUAUGGCGACGAUGCCUUCGCUCGUCUCUAUGCUGGCGUCAACGACAAAAUCUAAGCUGCUCUUCAGAAAGCCGAGAUGGGUGAGUAAUCGGGCUGUGGCGGUUGCAACGAAUGUGGAGAUUCGACGGACCAAAGCUUGAUUGGUGGAGGAAGUUCCUAACCUGCCGAAAUUGGCUCAAGAAAAGGUUUAUCAAAUCAUCUGUUUUUUUAUAUUAUUAUUUAUGUAUUUUUAAUUAAGCUUGAAUUUUAGGAAAUACGUCUGAUUAGAUAUGAUUUGGUGGCUGUGGGUCACCAAUUAGGCUUUUUCUCCAAUUGUUUCUUGGUUUUGGAAAAGUGGUGUGGAUUGGGCCUCUGUUGCUCUCUGUCUAUCCAUGAUGCACAACAAGAGUGUUGUUCUUGUAGUACUAGACUAGAAAUAGGAUAACUGUAGAAGAAUCUGGAAGGAACUAGACUUGGAAGACCAAUUGGCAUUUCCUCUUAUUCUGAAAUAAUUAAGAAUAGUUGGAGAAGUUUUACA